GCCUGGGUGGCUCAGUCGGUUAAGCGUCCGACUUCGGCUCAGGUCAUGAUCUCACGGUCCGUGAGUUCGAGCCCCACCUCAGGCU
RNAcentral lists this transfer RNA (85 nucleotides) under Felis catus (domestic cat). It matches the Rfam family "tRNA". Rfam says of the family: Transfer RNA (tRNA) molecules are approximately 80 nucleotides in length. Their secondary structure includes four short double-helical elements and three loops (D, anti-codon, and T loops). Further hydrogen bonds mediate the characteristic L-shaped molecular structure. tRNAs have two regions of fundamental functional importance: the anti-codon, which is responsible for specific mRNA codon recognition, and the 3' end, to which the tRNAs corresponding amino acid is attached (by aminoacyl-tRNA synthetases). tRNAs cope with the degeneracy of the genetic code in two manners: having more than one tRNA (with a specific anti-codon) for a particular amino acid; and 'wobble' base-pairing, i.e. permitting non-standard base-pairing at the 3rd anti-codon position. Lineage: Eukaryota; Metazoa; Chordata; Mammalia; Carnivora; Felidae. The record is from Rfam by way of RNAcentral.